Styela clava is the source of this 200-nucleotide non-coding RNA. The record is from RefSeq and is a predicted model, not a curated record. Lineage: Eukaryota; Metazoa; Chordata; Ascidiacea; Stolidobranchia; Styelidae.
UGGAUGCCUAUGGUUUGCGACGGGAAACCUACUUGGAGAAACGUUACGACGGGACAGUGCACAAAAGAAGAAGAGAAGGCUUUGGACGCUUUAAUGACAAAACUAGACGGAAUGGAAAGUAAGCUCCAUCAGUUGAAAAAGACGAUGGAAGAAUCAGAGACAAACUCACUGACGCCUUCUGUUGUAGGUGUCAAAAAUAC